RNAcentral lists this ribosomal RNA (558 nucleotides) under uncultured archaeon. RNAcentral's name for it is "bacterial SSU rRNA". It matches the Rfam family "Archaeal small subunit ribosomal RNA", at positions 322 to 882 of the family's 1478-position model. The record is from RNAcentral.
AUUACGGGGCGCAGCAGGCGCGAAAACUCCGCAAUGCGCGAAAGCGUGACGGGGCUACCCCGAGUGUCGUCCGCUGAGGAUGACUUUUCCCCGGUGUAAUGAGCCGGGGGAAUAAGGAGAGGGCAAGACUGGUGUCAGCCGCCGCGGUAAUACCAGCUCUCCGAGUGGUAGGGAUGAUUAUUGGGCUUAAAGCGUCCGUAGCCGGCUUAGCAAGUCUCCUGUUAAAUUCAGCGACCUAAUCGUUGAGCCGCGGGAGACACUACUAGGCUAGGAGGCGGGAGAGGCCGACGGUAUUCUCGGGGUAGGGGUGAAAUCCUAUAAUCCCGGGAGGACCACCAGUGGCGAAGGCUGUCGGCUAGAACGCGCUCGACGGUGAGGGACGAAAGCUGGGGGAGCGAACCGGAUUAGAUACCCGGGUAGUCCCAGCUGUAAACGAUGCGGGCUAGGUGUUGGGGUGGCUACGAGCCACUUCAGUGCCGCAGGGAAGCCGUUAAGCCCGCCGCCUGGGGAGUACGGCCGCAAGGCUGAAACUUAAAGGAAUUGGCGGGGGAGCACAAU